Plasmodium billcollinsi is the source of this 97-nucleotide non-coding RNA. The record is from the annotation of a GenBank genome assembly. Lineage: Eukaryota; Apicomplexa; Aconoidasida; Haemosporida; Plasmodiidae.
UAUAAAUUAUUUCAGUUGUCCCAAUGAUCCAGUGGGAAGGUAUGUAAGUUUUCUUUGAAGUGACACAGGUUCGAUUCCGCGUCCUUGAGUUUCUGAG